CCCCGUCAGGAGCAUCAGGUUGCCCAUCACUCCCUUGGUAAGGGAGAGGUCGGCAGUUCGAUCCUGCCCAUGGGCACCA
This 79-nucleotide transfer RNA is filed under the name Betaproteobacteria bacterium HGW-Betaproteobacteria-6. RNAcentral's name for it is "tRNA-Thr". The record is from RNAcentral. Lineage: Bacteria; Pseudomonadati; Pseudomonadota; Betaproteobacteria.